CACGUGGAUAAUCUGCCCUUCAGUGGGGAAUAACCAACCGAAAGGUUGGCUAACACCGCAUGAGACCACAGUAGCUGCGGCUACAGAGGUUAAAAAUUUAUUGCUGAAGGAUGAGUCUGCGCGGGAUUAGCUAGUUGGUGGGGUAAUGGCCUACCAAGGCAACGAUCCCUAGCUGGUCUGAGAGGAUGACCAGUCACACUGGAACUGAGACACGGUCCAGACUCCUACGGGAGGCAGCAGUAGGGAAUAUUGCGCAAUGGACGAAAGUCUGACGCAGCGACGCCGCGUGAGUGAUGAAGGCCUUAGGGUCGUAAAGCUCUGUUGAAUGGGAAGAAAAAAAUGACGGUACCAUUCGAGGAAGGACCGGCUAACUUCGUG
This 378-nucleotide ribosomal RNA is filed under the name uncultured bacterium. Its description in RNAcentral is "bacterial SSU rRNA". It matches the Rfam family "Bacterial small subunit ribosomal RNA", at positions 114 to 507 of the family's 1533-position model. The record is from RNAcentral.